GUCCUAUGCUGGGAGGGGUGUUGCCAUGAUUAUGAAGGUGAUCUACCCACAGCGAAGCUUGUGAAUUUCAAUCCAGAUGUGCUGGUCCCUGAGAUUUCCACAAUCGUGGGAAAUUCAACUUUAUGAUUUGUGCAGACAGCAUCUGUGCUUAC
Molecule: small nuclear RNA, 152 nt
Organism: Sorex araneus (European shrew)
Lineage: Eukaryota; Metazoa; Chordata; Mammalia; Eulipotyphla; Soricidae
Gene: U1
Rfam family: U1 spliceosomal RNA
About the family: U1 is a small nuclear RNA (snRNA) component of the spliceosome (involved in pre-mRNA splicing).
Source: Ensembl